GAUGAACGCUGGCGGCGUGCCUAAUACAUGCAAGUCGAGCGAACAGAUGAGGAGCUUGCUCCUCUGACGUUAGCGGCGGACGGGUGAGUAACACGUGGAUAACCUACCUAUAAGACUGGGAUAACUUCGGGAAACCGGAGCUAAUACCGGAUAAUAUAUUGAACCGCAUGGUUCAAUAGUGAAAGACGGUUUUGCUGUCACUUAUAGAUGGAUCCGCGCCGCAUUAGCUAGUUGGUAAGGUAACGGCUUACCAAGGCAACGAUGCGUAGCCGACCUGAGAGGUGGUUCGGCCCCCUAGGACCUGAGCACGGGCCCAGCUCCCACCGGGAGGCAGCAUGAGGGAAUCUUCCGAAAGGGGGGAAAGCCUGACGGAGCAACGCCGGGGGGGUGAUGAAGGUUUUGGGAUCGUAAAACCUUUUUAUUAGGGAAAAAAAAAUUGGAAAGUAACUAUGCCCGUUUGAACGGUACCAAACAAGAAAACCCCGGCUAACUCCUU
This 496-nucleotide ribosomal RNA is filed under the name uncultured bacterium. RNAcentral describes it as "partial 16S ribosomal RNA". It matches the Rfam family "Bacterial small subunit ribosomal RNA", at positions 28 to 506 of the family's 1533-position model. The record is from RNAcentral.